Molecule: ribosomal RNA, 253 nt
Filed under: uncultured bacterium
Lineage: Bacteria
Description: partial 16S ribosomal RNA
Rfam family: Bacterial small subunit ribosomal RNA
Source: RNAcentral
UACGUAGGGCGCAAGCGUUAUCCGGAAUUAUUGGGCGUAAAGAGUUCGUAGGCGGUUUGUCGCGUCUGCCGUGAAAGUCCGGGGCUCAACUCCGGAUCUGCGGUGGGUACGGGCAGACUAGAGUGAUGUAGGGGAGACUGGAAUUCCUGGUGUAGCGGUGAAAUGCGCAGAUAUCAGGAGGAACACCGAUGGCGAAGGCAGGUCUCUGGGCAUUAACUGACGCUGAGGAGCGAAAGCAUGGGGAGCGAACAGG